UACGUAGGCAGCAAGCGUUGUUCGGAGUUACUGGGCGUAAAGGGUGUGUAGGCGGUUGGAUAAGUGUGGUGUGAAAUCUCCCGGCUCAACUGGGAGGGUGCGCUACAAACUGUCUGACCAGAGUGUGGGAUGGGUAAGUGGAAUUCCUGGUGUAGCGGUGAAAUGCGCAGAUAUCAGGAGGAACACCAAUGGCGAAGGCAGCUCGCUGGGCUCUACCUGACGCUGAGGCGCGAAAGCGUGGGGAGCGAACCGG
Molecule: ribosomal RNA, 253 nt
Filed under: uncultured bacterium
Lineage: Bacteria
Description: partial 16S ribosomal RNA
Rfam family: Bacterial small subunit ribosomal RNA
Source: RNAcentral